CUCAGCACUUCAUUCACUUUUUAAAAAAAUGUCCACUCUAAGGUACUUAGUUUGGGUUUUGUUUGUUUUUAGGAAAUGAUUUAUCAUUGUGUCUCAUUUUUAAGAGUUAUUGUUUUACACAGCUCAGGACAUACCAUAAUAGAAGAUCAUCUAAAAUGGUUACAUACAUAACAAAGUGAUCCAUGUUGAUUGCGCAUCUAACAUUUGAUAUGAUGUGUCAUACUAUAGAAGUAGCACUAACUUUUUAUUAUCCCAAUAAAAGUUUAACUUAUGAUGCUCAUGUGUUGAUAGAUUUCAUAAACUAUCUUAAAGUAUCAGAUAACCUAGGUUAUUUUCAAAUUUGCUCAAGUAAGGGAACCUCUUUUAGGAUCUAAACCACACACAAGUUUCAAAUACAAGAAACAUAAUAUGGACCCUUCUAGACCUAGUGCCCAGAAACUUUAUUCUCUGGGCCACAGAAUACCAUUUCAUUAAGCAACAUUCAGCUAAGUUAGCCAGUUCCCCCGAUUUUCUCUGAAACAAUCAGUUAAUGAAAGAACAAAAUUUGAAAGCCUAAAGUAUUUCUGGAGUUCUUUUAUAUAUCUUUCACUCUGAACGUGCUGGCAACCUACUAGUUCUAAAGGAAAUCAACACUGGGCUCAGUUUGUCUCUGGCUGCUUAUUAUAGCAUUUGUGCUUUUUAAAUUUUUAUGCUGGAUAUUGAAUUAAAGAUGGGUGCAUAUAUGAAGAGUAUGCUUUUUGAAGAUAUGUUCAUAUUUCAAGUGUUUAUAUAGUCCUAAAAUUUAAUGUAUCACUUCAGAAAUAUUAAGCAUAAAUAUGAUGGGUGUAAUUCAUUAUAUAGAGCUGCAAUGUUAAAUAUGUAGUGAAACGUUGUUCUGAAUGUAUGCAUUAACCUCUGUCCUUACAGAACAUAGCAAAUGUAGCUUUUUAACCUAACUGUAUUCUUUCCUCCAAUAAAAUAUUAUUCAUUAUUUUGA
RNAcentral lists this long non-coding RNA (976 nucleotides) under Rattus norvegicus (Norway rat). RNAcentral's name for it is "long non-coding RNA NONRATT022969". Lineage: Eukaryota; Metazoa; Chordata; Mammalia; Rodentia; Muridae. The record is from RNAcentral.